RNAcentral lists this long non-coding RNA (814 nucleotides) under Homo sapiens (human). RNAcentral describes it as "HSALNT0329477". Lineage: Eukaryota; Metazoa; Chordata; Mammalia; Primates; Hominidae. The record is from RNAcentral.
CCCAAGCAACCCAAAGGGCCAGUCUCACUCCCACCAUGCCCACCCCCACAACAGCACCAAGUCUGUUUCCAGGUAGUGGGCAAACAGGAAGUUACCCCAGGCUACCCACCUCCCAGCUGCAAAAGUAAGUAGGGCAUUCCUUCUUCCCCUGCCUGUGGAGUCUGUACGCCAGAUUCACCCCCUCCCCAGAGUUCUGGCCAGGAGACUUCUCGAUUGGUUCAAAUUGUUACAAAGUUCAGCUGGAGGUUUCCUUCUCCCUGUGGCCUUUUCCCAGUGCCUCUGGCAGCCCUCCUCAAGGACACCUGUGAGGCGAGGCAGAAAGGGCCUUCUAGGGGAUCCAGCAAGCCCGCAGGGAUUUUCCUGCUGCUUCCUGUACCCCUGUAUUUCUCUCAGUUCUCUAAACUGACCCAGCUCCAAGUAAGCCCUUGAACCUGCUUGCCUCAGUAACCAUGGCAAGUCCAGAUGGCUGCCUUAGGAUCAGAUGUAAACCUUGGAGAAACCAGCUGUGGCCAGUAUGUCAAGUUUAAGCAGACAAAUGAAGGUGACCUGUGGUGGGAAUACACAUUUUGAAACUGAAAAGAGAUGGUAUGUGGGGAUGUACGGAGAACUUGUUGGAGUCUCUGUUGUGGACAACGCUUUAUGUGGUUUCAAGCUUCACAUACAAAAAAAAAGAAGGAAAGUGGCAGCACCCAAAAAAGAUCAAAACAAGGCAAGGAUCUCUGCUCUCGACCCAUCUAUUCAAUAUUGAACUAGAGGUCCCAGAUGGUGCAAUAAGGGACAUGGAUGAAGCUGGAAACCAUCAUUCUCAGCAAAC